This 1276-nucleotide ribosomal RNA is filed under the name Bacillus sp. (in: firmicutes). Its description in RNAcentral is "bacterial SSU rRNA". It matches the Rfam family "Bacterial small subunit ribosomal RNA", at positions 87 to 1345 of the family's 1533-position model. The record is from RNAcentral. Lineage: Bacteria; Bacillati; Bacillota; Bacilli; Caryophanales; Bacillaceae.
GGAUGUUAGCGGCGGACGGGUGAGUAACACGUGGGUAACCUGCCUGUAAGACUGGGAUAACUCCGGGAAACCGGAGCUAAUACCGGAUAGUUCCUUGAACCGCAUGGUUCAAGGAUGAAAGACGGUUUCGGCUGUCACUUACAGAUGGACCCGCGGCGCAUUAGCUAGUUGGUGAGGUAACGGCUCACCAAGGCGACGAUGCGUAGCCGACCUGAGAGGGUGAUCGGCCACACUGGGACUGAGACMCGGGCCCAGACUCCUACGGGAGGCAGCAGUAGGGAAUCUUCCGCAAUGGACGAAAGUCUGACGGAGCAACGCCGCGUGAGUGAUGAAGGUUUUCGGAUCGUAAAGCUCUGUUGUUAGGGAAGAACAAGUGCAAGAGUAACUGCUUGCACCUUGACGGUACCUAACCAGAAAGCCACGGCUAACUACGUGCCAGCAGCCGCGGUAAUACGUAGGUGGCAAGCGUUGUCCGGAAUUAUUGGGCGUAAAGGGCUCGCAGGCGGUUUCUUAAGUCUGAUGUGAAAGCCCCCGGCUCAACCGGGGAGGGUCAUUGGAAACUGGGAAACUUGAGUGCAGAAGAGGAGAGUGGAAUUCCACGUGUAGCGGUGAAAUGCGUAGAGAUGUGGAGGAACACCAGUGGCGAAGGCGACUCUCUGGUCUGUAACUGACGCUGAGGAGCGAAAGCGUGGGGAGCGAACAGGAUUAGAUACCCUGGUAGUCCACGCCGUAAACGAUGAGUGCUAAGUGUUAGGGGGUUUCCGCCCCUUAGUGCUGCAGCUAACGCAUUAAAGCACUCCGCCCUGGGGGAGUACGGGUCGCAAGACUGAAACUCAAAGGAAUUGACGGGGGCCCGCACAAGCGGUGGAGCAUGUGGUUUAAUUCGAAGCAACGCGAAGAACCUUACCAGGUCUUGACAUCCUCUGACAACCCUAGAGAUAGGGCUUUCCCUUCGGGGACAGAGUGACAGGUGGUGCAUGGUUGUCGUCAGCUCGUGUCGUGAGAUGUUGGGUUAAGUCCCGCAACGAGCGCAACCCUUGAUCUUAGUUGCCAGCAUUCAGUUGGGCACUCUAAGGUGACUGCCGGUGACAAACCGGAGGAAGGUGGGGAUGACGUCAAAUCAUCAUGCCCCUUAUGACCUGGGCUACACACGUGCUACAAUGGACAGAACAAAGGGCUGCGAGACCGCAAGGUUUAGCCAAUCCCACAAAUCUGUUCUCAGUUCGGAUCGCAGUCUGCAACUCGACUGCGUGAAGCUGGAAUCGCUAGUAAUCGC